This 218-nucleotide long non-coding RNA is filed under the name Elaeis guineensis (African oil palm). Its description in RNAcentral is "long non-coding RNA (EGUI_LNC044731)". Lineage: Eukaryota; Viridiplantae; Streptophyta; Magnoliopsida; Arecales; Arecaceae. The record is from RNAcentral.
CUCAUCCAAAAUAGGUCCGAUUCGAAUCUGAUUCGAAGCUGGUUCGAAAUAAUUUUGAAAGGCUGUCAAUCCUAAACUCUUUAGGACUUUUGUACCAAAUCUAACUUAAAUUUUGGAUCCAUUUAAGUCAAAUUAAUUUAGAUCUAAUCUGAAAUUAAUUAAUACUUAAAUUCAAUCUUUCAUAUAUUCUAUGAUAGAUCAAAAACUGUUUAUCCCCG